AAAAUAAACCACUUUAAUCAAAGCAUUAGAAUCAGCAAGUGAUGGAAGGAGGACCCCGUUGACAGAGGCAGACUCACAAUGACCCCCGAAAUAUGCAAUCUACAUCUGAUGUAAAAAGCACCACACAACUAGUUCGAAGAGACCUGUCUGCUCAAGUAAAGUCUAACCAUGAACGAGAAGGAGGGUCGAUCGGCUCUGUGCUGAUCAGCUAAACAAGUCAAGUUCUUUUUUUUUUCUUGUGUAAUUUUAUUUAUUUAUUUAUUUUUCUUUUUUGAGGGCAAAGAGAGAAGAGAAUCGUCAUGUUCAGGCAAAACUGUGAACUGAUGGCAGUUUG
This is a non-coding RNA of Pelobates cultripes (western spadefoot toad), 334 nucleotides long. The record is from the annotation of a GenBank genome assembly. NCBI's taxonomy places the organism in Eukaryota, Metazoa, Chordata, Amphibia, Anura, Pelobatidae.